Molecule: long non-coding RNA, 600 nt
Filed under: Bos taurus (domestic cattle)
Lineage: Eukaryota; Metazoa; Chordata; Mammalia; Artiodactyla; Bovidae
Description: long non-coding RNA NONBTAT025797
Source: RNAcentral
GAGAAAAGUUUAAAACUUUUCCCUAGACACAUUAAUCAGCAGAAGAGAAAGUAUGGGUAGUUCAUAAAUCUGACAUAUCAUAGAAGGAGAACAAUAUAUUGAGGACCCAGAAUCUCAUUUUCUUUUUCAGUCUUAUUUUUUGUACUAAGUGCAUCUCACUAUAGGGAAUAAAAAAUUAUAUCACAUGUACUGCUAGGGGGAAAAAUUGUUCCUUUUAUCAAUCAAAUAGAGACUUUCUAUGACACGCAUCUUGAGUGAUAAAACAGUGAUAAAUGUCUUAUAUUUGCCAUUUUUAUAGGACCCUUGUGACUAGAAAUCAAAACAAUGUUCUAAGAUUAUAAAAAUGACAAUAGUGCAAAAUUCUAGGUUUAUUGUAUUAAUGCACGCAGCUGUGUACAGCAAGAGAGGCAACGAUGCCAGCUACUUUUCUGAGUUAAAAAUGGUCCUGGCUUUUUGUAAUAGGCCAUGUGGGAUGACAUUUUUUAUUUCUUACAAAUCCAAUUUUAAGUGGUUCUUUAAAAUAUAAGUGAAUGGCAGGACCCACAUUUACCCAUUAGAUUAAAUGCUUGCUUUUGAUUGAAUAGAAAAUUACAGUUUUCC